This is a non-coding RNA of Camellia sinensis, 1789 nucleotides long. Lineage: Eukaryota; Viridiplantae; Streptophyta; Magnoliopsida; Ericales; Theaceae. The record is from RefSeq and is a predicted model, not a curated record.
UAUGACAUAUAUAAUCUACAAGUAUGUAUGUAUAAUGUAUGUAAAAUUGUUUUCCCCUAUGUGACUCAUUGCUCCAUCUUUCUCUACCGUGAGCUCACUCCCGCGCUCGGCUAUGGAUCUCUCUCUCUCUCUGUGUAUUUAAUCUCAGCUUUUGUUUAAUAUUGGGAGAUCAUUAAUUUCUUCUGCAAUUGAUUUUCUCUAUCUCGUCUCUGGUGAUUCAGCAACUUGACAGUGCACUUUGACAUGCUUCAUCAUCGCAUGUAACUUGAAGUUUGCGAUAAUCAUGGCUUGAUAUCACAAAAAGAAUCCUCAUGGCUUUAAGUGGGUUUAAUGAACCAUUCGAGAGAGUUUUUUUUUUUUGAUUGGCACCAGGGUGUCCGGAUCAAAGCCCGACCAAUCCUCAGGGGUGCACAAGCCCUCGGCAAGGAGUUUUCCGAGCCAUGCAAGAGAGUUUUGCACUCUCCAGCAUCUGUUUAUGCAGAGUUGAUGCUCAUGCUGCUUGAUGAUUUCAACAAAUCUUAGGGCUGAUCUCUGAAACUUUGUUGGUAGCAACUCCUUUGAUGCUUUGUAAACACCAAGGAGAAAGGACAAGAAGAAAGCUAGAUGACUAUAAGGAGAAUGAAGAGAACUUAAAUUUUAGUUCUGUAUGAGAGAGCAGAAUCUGGAUCAGUGUGGCUUCAAAUUAAGCUUGGUGAGCCAAAUAGAUUGGUUGGGGAAAGGAAUAUAUGAGAGAGAGAGCUCUAACCCAUCUGACUGGAUCACUCCUCUUUCUAAUUUGAACCCCUGACCAAUAUUAUUUCUCGUCAUAGUUUGACCCUCCCAAAUAGCUAAAUGUAACCUUACCUGUAGAUCUUGGAUGUAGAAAACUCAUUCGACAAAUAAUAUCCUCUCCUCCCACUAGAUUUGAACUCUGGUCUUGAACUCAUUAUUCUGUCCAAAAAGGAAACCAGAUUACUUAUUAACUCUUCCUUCUCAGUCAGUCUAGAGAAGUAAUAUGUGAUAUUGCUAUUUGCAACUCUUAAUCUAGUCUAACCUUAUCGAUCUCCUAUUUACCUUGUUUCGCAAGCGGAAAUAAUUAUAAUUCAAAAUUUAGGUACAUUGGUACCAGGGUGCAUUAAUGAUGAUUUAUUAAUCUGUGUGGGUAUGAAAAAGCAAUAAGCCAGCGGGUGGUAACAUGAGAGAGAAAUGCUUCUGCACUUGUUUGAUAACACAAGGCUAUGGAAAUAAGUGAGUUGUUACUCUGUCUCACCGCUAGUUAAGAUCCAAAGACAUCUUUAUCUUUAAAACUUAAAAGUUCAUUGGUUUUCUUCCUCUUGAACAACAUAUCUGAUGGCAUAUCUUUCACAAAAUUUAUCUUCAUGUUAUAAGAAGCAGGAAUUUGGUAAAACAGUAUUAUGAAUUCAUGCUAUCUUGUCAAUCUUAACCAUUCCUGUUUUGAAGUAGAUAACACCAUAAGGGCUGACAUAUUUAGGAGACACUGACAGAGACAGUGAUACACAAUUCUUAUUUUCUUCUGCCUUACUGUCUAUUUCAACAUUUGCUUCACCCUUCCAUUUUUCUAGUUCAUCCAGUUGCGACUGAAAAAUAAGGGGGCUGGGGGCAGAGGUGCAUAUGGAACCCUCUGAUUUGUUAGCUUACGAGCUUUGGGAGAGACAGCGAAAAUUAGUUUCCUAGUUUUUGGCUAGUGAUGUGAAUCUUUGAGAUCAAAAUGACAAUUUUUUCAGCUGUUGAUUUCACUUAUCACAGUAAGGCCCAUCUUCUUUCUUCUAAUCCUACUCUCUUUUCUUCU